UACGUAGGGGGCAAGCGUUGUCCGGAAUCAUUGGGCGUAAAGAGCGUGUAGGCGGUCCGGUAAGUCGGCUGUGAAAGUCCAGGGCUCAACCCUGGGAUGCCGGUCGAUACUGCCGGACUAGAGUUCGGAAGAGGCGAGUGGAAUUCCCGGUGUAGCGGUGGAAUGCGCAGAUAUCGGGAGGAACACCUAUGGCGAAGGCAGCUCGCUGGGACGUUACUGACGCUGAGACGCGAAAGCGUGGGGAGCAAACAGG
RNAcentral lists this ribosomal RNA (253 nucleotides) under uncultured bacterium. RNAcentral describes it as "partial 16S ribosomal RNA". It matches the Rfam family "Bacterial small subunit ribosomal RNA", at positions 524 to 776 of the family's 1533-position model. The record is from RNAcentral.